RNAcentral lists this ribosomal RNA (481 nucleotides) under uncultured bacterium. Its description in RNAcentral is "bacterial SSU rRNA". It matches the Rfam family "Bacterial small subunit ribosomal RNA", at positions 15 to 518 of the family's 1533-position model. The record is from RNAcentral.
GAUUAUGGCUCAGGACAACGCUGGCGGCAUGCCUAACACAUGCAAGUCGAACGGGGGUAGCAAUACCCUAGUGGCGAACGGGUGAGUAACACAUAAGCAAUCUGCCCUUCACAGGGGGAUAACAGCGGGAAACUGCUGCUAAUACCGCAUAAGACCACGGUACCGCAUGGUACAGGGGUAAAAACGAAUCAGUGGUGAAGGAUGAGCUUAUGUCCCAUUAGCUAGUUGGUGAGAUAACAGCCCACCAAGGCGACGAUGGGUAGCCGACCUGAGAGGGUGAUCGGCCACACUGGAACUGAGACACGGUCCAGACUCCUACGGGAGGCAGCAGUGGGGAAUAUUGGGCAAUGGAGGAAGCCUCUUACCCAGCAAUGCCGCGUGAGUGAAGAAGGUCUUCGGAUUGUAAAGCUCUUUGAUUGGGGACGAAGAAAGUGACGGUACCCAAAGAACAAGCCCCGGCUAACUACGUGCCAGCAGCCGC